This is a non-coding RNA of Triticum aestivum (bread wheat), 132 nucleotides long. NCBI's taxonomy places the organism in Eukaryota, Viridiplantae, Streptophyta, Magnoliopsida, Poales, Poaceae. The record is from Rfam.
CAAGUACUCCCUCCGUCUCAAAAUUCUUGUCUUAGAUUUGUCUAGAUAUGGAUGCUAUUCACAUUUUAGUAUUAGAUAUAUCUAUAUCUAGGUAGAUCUAAGACAAAAAAUUUGGGACGAAGGGAGUAGUUG